AGCAGCCGCGGUAAUUCCAGCUCCAAUAGCGUAUAUUAAAGUUGUUGCAGUUAAAAAGCUCGUAGUUGAAUUUCGGGAUCAAUAUAUCGGUCGUGCCUUGGUACGUACUGGUAUCAUUGGUUUCUCCUUUCUGACGAACCAUGAUGUCAUUAAUUUGGUGUUAUGGGAAGUUAGGACUGUUAACUUCGAAAAAUUAGAGUGUUUAAAGCAGGCUUACGCUUGAAUACAUUAGCAUGGAAUAAUGAAAUAGGACGUUUGAUUCUAUUUUGUUGGUUUCUAGGAUCGACGUAAUGAUUAAUAGGGAUAGUUGGGGGCAUUAGUAUUCAAUUGUCAGAGGUGAAAUUCUUGGAUUUAUUGAAGACUAACUACUGCGAAAGCAUUUGCCAAGGAUGUUUUCAUUAAUCAAGAACGAAAGUUAGGGGAUCGAAGACGAUCAGAUACCGUCGUAGUCUUAACCAUAAACUAUGCCGACUACGGGAUCGGAUGGAUGUUUAAUUUUUAAUGUACUCAGUUCGGCGUA
This 520-nucleotide unclassified non-coding RNA is filed under the name uncultured Glomus. RNAcentral describes it as "SSU rRNA". It matches the Rfam family "Eukaryotic small subunit ribosomal RNA", at positions 569 to 1089 of the family's 1831-position model. The record is from RNAcentral. Lineage: Eukaryota; Fungi; Glomeromycota; Glomeromycetes; Glomerales; Glomeraceae.